Molecule: long non-coding RNA, 2909 nt
Filed under: Mytilus galloprovincialis (Mediterranean mussel)
Lineage: Eukaryota; Metazoa; Mollusca; Bivalvia; Mytilida; Mytilidae
Source: RNAcentral
GUUUAAGUUAUUAAAUUUAAAGUUUUAUUGUAAAUUUAUUGUAUUUGUACUCUUUACUGGUGAAUAUUUCCUUGUGUUCAAUCUUUAUGUUUAUUAUAUAAGCCACAUAUGUAUAUAAUAUGUGUUUCUGUAUUCAUGAUAUGUGGCAUGCAUAUAUUUAUGACAAAUCUCAAUAUACAAUCAAAGAGAGCUUGUAAACAUGCAAUAAUAAAGAAAAAGAGAGUACAGACUGUUUCUGAAUAUCCAACUCCAUAUUGAUAUGUUUCCGUAUUAACUACAUACUCGUGGCAAAUAUAAACAACGCAAACAUAAUCUUAGUUUGUCGAUAGCCCGUCAUGCUCGAUAAUUUGAAACAAAAGAUAACAAUUUAUUCCUUCAUAUGAAUAAGUAUGAGCUUUAUGCAAAGUUCAGUAGAAAAAUAAUACAAAUAAAAACCUUAAAUAUAUUUCAGUAAAGUUUUUUGUAAAUAGUCUGUGGCUGUAUGUAUAUACAAAUUAUGUUUGUGAAAUACUCUGUGAUAUUGUAAAUGUACAUAAUUUUAACAUUAAAAGCAUAGGCAUUUUUAAUCCUACAUAAAUAAUAAUCUACAAAAUAACAUUUUUUUUAAAUUCUCAGUUUCUGCUUCUGUUGUUCAUGUGCUUGAACUCCUUUUUUUCUUCCUUAGAAAACAAAAAAAUCCUUUGUUAGAAAGUGCCUUUUCACUAUAAAAUAAUUUUGAUAUAAAAUAUAAAAAUUUAAACCAAGUAAUUGGUUUCAGUUGUACAUAUAUAAAAUGUAUGUAAAUUUAAUAUGUCAUACCAACCUACUUUAUAUUUUGUUGUUCUUACAACUCUAUGAUUGAUUAACUAUCAUUUUACAUAAAAUAUUCAUAAAACUAUAACUGUAAAAUGCUUUUUAUAUCUCAACUGUGGCAGAGGGGCCAUUAUUUGUUACCCUUAUCUGGCUGUACGUCUGUAUGUCCCAAAAUUAGUCUCAAUUCUAUGACUUAAGUUUGCCUCAACCAAAUGUUAUGAAACUUAAACACAAACUCAGAUCAAGUUUUAAUUUUGGUGGCAUCACUUUUAUCAUUGUAGAGUUAUGUUCUCUAACAUUAGUUUGCCUCAUCCAAAGGUAAUGAUAUUAUACACAAUGCCUAUUAGCACUAAACACAGUUCAAGAAUGAAUUUGGGUAGGGUCACUAUAACUGAUCUUGAGUUAUGUCCCUUUAUCAUGUUGUAUUCAAGCGAGGGCAUAAUCUGUGUCCCAUGGACACAUUCCCUUUUCAUCUCAUUUAACUAAACAAAUUGAAAUCAAUGGUACAAUCAAUUUUGAUAAGUGAUCCUUCCUAGAUCGUAGUGUUGAAUUAAACAAGACUAGAAGAAAUGAAAAUUUUCUGUAAAAGACUUUUUUAAAGUCUAGUUGUCAGUAUAUCUUUUUUAAUGUGGUUGAUUUAUGAAAGAAUUUCUGUUCAAAGACCUUCAAAAUGGCAACAUAAAAGAGGUAACUCUUUCUCAAAAGGUUUCAAUUGAAAAGGGUGUUAAACAAAAAGUUUUAUAUUUUCUACAAUCAUUUUUGUUUGUAAAUGAUGCAUAAUAUAAACAAAUAAUUGUACCGGUAUGUAUUUUAAAAUGAGUAUAAAAUUUUAUUAUAUUUUCUAAGGUUUUUAAUACUACAGUUUUAUUUUUUAAAGUUAGAAAUGCUACUUAUAAACAAUUGACAAUUGACAUUACGUAUCAAUGAAUAAUGAUAAGUAAAAUUUUAUGCUGUAGAUGCACAAUUGAAGUUGCUUGUAAUUAUAAACUUUUGCAAGCAGAAUAAAAAUUUUAAGCAGACUUUAAAACAUGAUUUAAACUGUUUUCAAAGUGAAAUUUGUACUAAAAACAUUUAAAAAGCAUGUGACGUUCCAAUUGAUAUACAUGUAUCAUAUGAGUACUAUAAAUUUAGAAAUUAGUAUGUGCAUUUAUUAUUUUGAUUUUCUCAUUUAAUACAUAAAGCAAUUAAUAUUUUUUCUAUACGAAAAAAAAUCAGAAUGUGAGUUUAAAUAAUUGCAAUUACAACACUAUCAGAUUUUUCGCAAUAAUGAUAACAUCACAAUAAUUUCUGAAUUUACAGUAAUUCAUUUAGAAAAAAAUUCUGACAGUAAAAAAUCAAACAGAACUAUUUGAACAAACACAGAUUCCUGCUGUUGAUUACCUUUAAAGAAUUUAAAAAAGAUCAUUAUUUAAAAACCACCUUAAUUGAAGUUUCAGUUUAAACAAAAACUUUUUGUUUCAAAUUAAUAAGUUUUAGGUAUUAUAGUAUAUGUUUGUUAUGAUUAAAACCACAUCAAAUUAUUAAAAUAAGUAUGAUUACCUAUGUAGAUGUAUUUUAUAGCCAUUUUUAUGGUGAUGUUUCAUAUGUUUAAGUUAUUCAAGUUGUAUGCUGUAAGUUCAAUGUACAUUUGUUAAUUUUUUAAAUGACUAGAAUUUUAUUUUGGCUGUUUAAAUUUUAGUUAUAUAAACUUGUUCAGUUGGAUGUCAAAAAUUUAUAACAUAAUAAAAAUUAUUAUUAAGCUAGAAUAAAAAAAAAAUAACAGAAUGAAAGGUUGCAUUACCAAAAUAUCAAAUUCUAUACAAUGAUAAACUGAAAUUUCCUGUUUAUCUUCCUACACUGCUUGCAAUCUCUGGGCUUUUGUAAAACUUAUUAUUUAAUAUCAAGACUUCUGUUUGUGAAUUUUUUUUUUUAAACAUUUCCAUCAAAAGAAAUACAUUUUGGGUUUACAAACCAUUUUAGUGUGUAUUAUGAAUUACAAUUUAGAGUUAUACUGACAUGUCUACUAGAAAGUAUUUGGACAGAAUUUAUUACAGAAAAUUCUAAUGUUUUGAAUUCAGAGUUGACAUGUAUAAAUUAAUGAUUGAUUAUCUUGAAAAUCAGGUCAAAUAAAGAACUGU